GAUGAACGCUCGCUACAGGCUUAACACAUGCAAGUCGAGGGGAAACGACAUCGAAAGCUUGCUUUUGAUGGGCGUCGACCGGCGCACGGGUGAGUAACGCGUAUCCAACCUGCCCAUCACUUGGGAAUAACCUUGCGAAAGUAAGACUAAUACCCAAUGAUAUCCCACGAAGGCAUCGGAAUGGGAUUAAAGAUUUAUCGGUGAUGGAUGGGGAUGCGUCUGAUUAGCUUGUUGGCGGGGUAACGGCCCACCAAGGCAACGAUCAGUAGGGGUUCUGAGAGGAAGGUCCCCCACAUUGGAACUGAGACACGGUCCAAACUCCUACGGGAGGCAGCAGUGAGGAAUAGUGGUCAAGGGGCGAGAGCCUGAACCAGCCAAGUAGCGUGCAGGAAGACGGCCCUAUGGGUUGUAAACUGCUUUUAUAAGGGAAUAAAGUGGGUCACGUGUGACUUUUUGCAUGUACCUUAUGAAUAAGGACCGGCUAAUUCCGUG
Molecule: ribosomal RNA, 492 nt
Filed under: uncultured bacterium
Lineage: Bacteria
Description: partial 16S ribosomal RNA
Rfam family: Bacterial small subunit ribosomal RNA
Source: RNAcentral